Molecule: ribosomal RNA, 82 nt
Filed under: Enterobacter asburiae
Lineage: Bacteria; Pseudomonadati; Pseudomonadota; Gammaproteobacteria; Enterobacterales; Enterobacteriaceae
Also listed under: 1 other name
Description: partial 16S ribosomal RNA
Rfam family: Bacterial small subunit ribosomal RNA
Source: RNAcentral
AAAUUGAAGAGUUUGAUCAUGGCUCAGAUUGAACGCUGGCGGCAGGCCUAACACAUGCAAGUCGAGCGGCAGCGGAAAGUAG